CCGAUGCAAAGAAGAGCAUCGGUCGCCCCUUGGAUCAUCAUGAGAGCCUUGUAGCUCUCUAAAUGGUCAACUGGGUCGGUGGAGCCAUCGUAGGGCUCCACAUGGGGCAUCUUGAACCGACUAGGAAUCGGCUCGUCGAGGAUGAGUCGGGAGAGAGGUUGGGCGGUCUGGAAGUCGACGUCGUUCGGGGACUUCUGUCUGUCCACCUGCAGCUGGGCAAGGCGACGGUUGAUUUCUCUGAACCUGCAUUCGUAGUCGUCGGCCCGUUAGUGCUGAGAGAUCCCGGGAGUGGAGUCUCCCAACGAAUCUGAGAGG
RNAcentral lists this long non-coding RNA (315 nucleotides) under Elaeis guineensis (African oil palm). RNAcentral's name for it is "long non-coding RNA (EGUI_LNC030109)". The record is from RNAcentral. Lineage: Eukaryota; Viridiplantae; Streptophyta; Magnoliopsida; Arecales; Arecaceae.